AACAAAAGUAGAGGUGCGUUGCAUAAAAGUCAUGUUGAAUUGGGUGAUGCCAAUAAUUCGACAUAAAAGGAUGCAAUGCCGAAAUAAAUGGGGUUAUCAGCUUCAUUUGUUGGGGCAGUUCUCGAAAGGGACUGCACUGUCAUAGUGUUUUUAUCAACUUGAUAAAAAGAAUGAUAUUCAUAUUAAAUGGAUAUUGCUGUGGAGUGCUACUAGUUAA
Molecule: non-coding RNA, 217 nt
Filed under: Shewanella frigidimarina
Lineage: Bacteria; Pseudomonadati; Pseudomonadota; Gammaproteobacteria; Alteromonadales; Shewanellaceae
Also listed under: 1 other name
Description: Lysine sequence
Rfam family: Lysine riboswitch aptamer
About the family: Riboswitches are metabolite binding domains within certain messenger RNAs that serve as precision sensors for their corresponding targets.
Source: RNAcentral